Molecule: ribosomal RNA, 330 nt
Filed under: Alloglossidium corti
Lineage: Eukaryota; Metazoa; Platyhelminthes; Trematoda; Plagiorchiida; Alloglossidiidae
Description: eukaryotic LSU rRNA
Rfam family: Eukaryotic large subunit ribosomal RNA (bases 144-330)
Source: RNAcentral
AAUAAUUCCAGUUACAACCUCCUUUUGGCUGAAGGCUAUAUUGGAGGGUGACUGUGGAGUCGUGGCUCAAUGGUUAUGUUUGCGCGCGCUCUGCAUUGUCACCACUGUAUCUGUCAAACGUGAAAUGCUUUGUGCAUUUUACCUGACCUCGGAUCAGACGUGAAUACCCGCUGAACUUAAGCAUAUCACUAAGCGGAGGAAAAGAAACUAACAAGGAUUCCCUUAGUAACGGCGAGUGAACAGGGAAAAGCCCAGCACCGAAGCCUGUGGCCAUUUGGUCAUUAGGCAAUGUGGUGUUUAGGUCGUUCCACAGAGGUUCUGCUCCAUCCU